CCCUUAGAUGUUCUGGGCUGCACGCGCGCUACACUGAAGCUAUCAACACGUUUUCCCUCCCUGAGAAGGGCGGGUAACCUUUUGAAUCAGCUUCGUGGUAGGGAUCGGGGCUUGCAAUUGUUCACCGUGAACCAGGAAUUCCUAGUAGACGCGAGUCAUAAGCUCGCAUCGAUUAAGUCCCUGCCCUUUGUACACACCGCCCGUCGCUACUACCGAUUGAACGUUUUAGUGAGGCAUUUGGACCGACGCAUCUCAGUUUAACCGCUGGUUUGUGUUGGAAAGACUUCCAAACUUGAGCGUUUAGAGGAAGUAAAAGUCGUAACA
RNAcentral lists this ribosomal RNA (324 nucleotides) under uncultured eukaryote. RNAcentral describes it as "partial 18S ribosomal RNA". It matches the Rfam family "Eukaryotic small subunit ribosomal RNA", at positions 1470 to 1796 of the family's 1831-position model. The record is from RNAcentral.